Molecule: small RNA, 90 nt
Filed under: Citrobacter freundii
Lineage: Bacteria; Pseudomonadati; Pseudomonadota; Gammaproteobacteria; Enterobacterales; Enterobacteriaceae
Description: RtT sRNA
Rfam family: RtT RNA
About the family: This family represents a bacterial cis-regulatory element known as RtT RNA.
Source: RNAcentral
GAGAACCUCCGGGGGGUAAGAGGUUCGACUCGAGCGUAGCGAGAGAACGUUGCGUCAGCAACGGCCCGCGGGGCGAGCCACGUAGUGGCG